Molecule: ribosomal RNA, 292 nt
Filed under: uncultured bacterium
Lineage: Bacteria
Description: partial 16S ribosomal RNA
Rfam family: Bacterial small subunit ribosomal RNA
Source: RNAcentral
GUGUCAGCAGCCGCGGUAAUACGUAGGUGGCAAGCGUUGUCCGGAUUUAUUGGGUUUAAAGGGUGCGUAGGCGGCCUAUUAAGUCAGUGGUGAAAUAUUUCAGCUCAACUGGAAUUGUGCCAUUGAUACUGAUGGGCUUGAGUACAGAUGAGGUAGGCGGAAUUGACGGUGUAGCGGUGAAAUGCUUAGAUAUCGUCAAGAACACCUAUAGCGAAGGCAGCUUACUAGGCUGUAACUGACGCUGAGGCACGAAAGUGUGGGGAUCAAACAGGAUUAGAUACCCCGGUAGUCC